RNAcentral lists this long non-coding RNA (355 nucleotides) under Manihot esculenta (cassava). RNAcentral's name for it is "long non-coding RNA (MESC_LNC007602)". Lineage: Eukaryota; Viridiplantae; Streptophyta; Magnoliopsida; Malpighiales; Euphorbiaceae. The record is from RNAcentral.
ACUUUUGAAACAAGUUUUGGAGCUUUGGGAACUCAGGAGCUCAUUUUCGUGGAUCUCCAAGUUUAGGUCGUCUCCCUCUCGAUCUUCAAGAGGUAAGAGCCGAUCUUAAGCUCCUUAUGUGUUUCAAGUAAGUUUUAAGUUGUUUUAUGGGUAGAAAUGCAUGUUAGGCUUUAAGUUGAGUUUAUGGGUUUUGUUGAUGAUUUGAACAAUGUAUGUUGAUUGUGUGUAGUGGGAGUGUUGUAGUUGGGGUAUUUGAUAGUUUGAGACCCCUAGGUGUGAUAUAUGGUAUGUAUGCAUGUUUUAGAACAAGUUUAUGCAUGAUUGGUGAGUUUGGAGGCAAAAAUGCAUAAGGGAN